CAUAUAAAUAAGCGGAGGAAAAGAAACCAACUGGGAUUCCCUUAGUAACGGCGAGCGAACAGGGAAGAGUCCAGCGCCGAAUUCCACGUUCGUACGGACGUUUGGAAAAUGUGGCGUUUAGGAGGAAGCGUGCCGGAGGUUGGCUCUGCAGCAAGUCCCCCUGACCGGGGCUGUUACCCAGAGCGGGUGCGAGGCCCAUAGCUGCUAGGUCUCCUCCGGAUGCGACCUCUUGGGAGUCGGGUUGCUUGGGAGUGCAACCCUAAUCGGGUGGUAAACUCCACCUAAGACUAAAUACGGCCGUGAGACCGAUAGCAAACAAGUAC
Molecule: ribosomal RNA, 323 nt
Filed under: Filistata insidiatrix
Lineage: Eukaryota; Metazoa; Arthropoda; Arachnida; Araneae; Filistatidae
Description: eukaryotic LSU rRNA
Rfam family: Eukaryotic large subunit ribosomal RNA
Source: RNAcentral